CCGGCACGGGUGAGUAACACGUAUCCAACCUGCCGUCUACUCUUGGCCAGCCUUCUGAAAGGAAGAUUAAUCCAGGAUGGCAUCAUGAGUUCACAUGUCCGCAUGAUUAAAGGUAUUUUCCGGUAGACGAUGGGGAUGCGUUCCAUUAGAUAGUAGGCGGGGUAACGGCCCACCUAGUCAACGAUGGAUAGGGGUUCUGAGAGGAAGGCCCCCCACAUUGGAACUGAGACACGGUCCAA
This 239-nucleotide ribosomal RNA is filed under the name uncultured bacterium. Its description in RNAcentral is "partial 16S ribosomal RNA". It matches the Rfam family "Bacterial small subunit ribosomal RNA", at positions 100 to 334 of the family's 1533-position model. The record is from RNAcentral.